Molecule: ribosomal RNA, 326 nt
Filed under: Hyriopsis desowitzi
Lineage: Eukaryota; Metazoa; Mollusca; Bivalvia; Unionida; Unionidae
Description: partial 16S ribosomal RNA
Rfam family: Bacterial large subunit ribosomal RNA
Source: RNAcentral
GUAAUAAUUAGCCUCUUAAUUGGAGGCCAGUGAAAGGCAACACCGGGAAUACCUGUACUUUAUAUGUUAAAAGAACUUUCUCUCUAAGUGAAAAAUCUUAGAUAAUAAUGGAAGACGAAAAGACCCCGCGGAACUUUACCUUUUCUUCUAAGACUAUUCCGCACAUAAAAAUAGGCUUAACAAGGUUUGAUUGGGGCAAUCUCGGAACCGCCCAAGCUUCCGACUUUUUUAACAAACAUCAAAAAUUUGUUAUGGACCAAAGAGAAGUUACCCCGGGGAUAACAGCGUUAUCCAACUUGAGAGUACACAUCGAAAGUUGGGUUUGC